UCCUACAAGGCACAUAUGAGAAAAAAAAAAUAGACAUAAUACCAUGAAAGAUGUUCGAGUUUUGAAGCUUCGUAUUAGAGACACGCACAAAAGUCCAACACCAAUAUUUACUCGUAUCCCAUGUUCGAUCAUUUUUUGCCACGAAGCAGAAAAGCCCCAAUCCCAAGUCUCUCUGCUGCUCCGAUUCGCAUUCGCUUUCUCUCUCUUGCGAAACAAAUCCGGUGUACAUAAUAAACUCAAGGUGAGAGCCAAGAUCUCAACAUGUAUAGGAGCAAGCAGACAAUCAAAGCUUUAACGCCAAUUAGAGAAUGACCGAGAUUGGACUAGCCUCAUGCAUGACGGUUCUCGACCACCAAGUAACGAAUCAGUAAUCAUCUCUUAUGGUCGACGAGUCAAAGAAAAACAUGCAAAUCACACUACAAUACUCUCAUUUUGACUGAUAACAGAAGCAAAUCGAUACUGGAAGUCACUUGGGCAAAACAUCGAACACCUGAUGGACAUGAAAUUCCAAGUGCUCGGGACAGAAUACUCAACAAAUUAUCGAUGACGAGUAUAGAGUGAGGUGUUCAUUUUAAACAUUACAAGACGCAAAAUCGACGAAUCGGAGGACAGGCGUGCACUGAGACGUGCUCGGCUAAAACCAAAAUAGAGCAUAGGAGAGGGAUGCGUGGCCAGAGCCGUCACUGGUCGAGAUUGAUGAUCGCCCGAAGGAGAGAGAUCGUAAUGGACAGUAAAGACGGGAACUAGAACCGUCAAAGGGAGGAAGAAACAAAGACUGUGUACUUCAGCAGCGAUGGCUCUGAAAUAGGGGCGAACGGAGCCUCUUCACGGCCGCGGAACUGGUGGCGAUCGUGCGACUACCGGUGGUUGAAAUUGACGCGACUGAGAGGGGAUUUUUUCGUGUUGCUUGGAUGGAUGUACUAGAAGAAGUGAAGCUCAUCGCACAUAUGAAUUGGUACGUGGAAGAGAGACUUUUAGUACUAGUUUAUAUUAUACAUCAAAU
RNAcentral lists this long non-coding RNA (1003 nucleotides) under Eucalyptus grandis. RNAcentral's name for it is "long non-coding RNA (EGRA_LNC002100)". Lineage: Eukaryota; Viridiplantae; Streptophyta; Magnoliopsida; Myrtales; Myrtaceae. The record is from RNAcentral.